GAUGAACGCUGGCGGCGUGCCUAAUACAUGCAAGUCGAGCGAACGGACGAGAAGCUUGCUUCUCUGAUGUUAGCGGCGGACGGGUGAGUAACACGUGGAUAACCUACCUAUAAGACUGGGAUAACUUCGGGAAACCGGAGCUAAUACCGGAUGAUAUUUUGAACCGCAUGGUUCAAAAGUGAAAGACGGUCUUGCUGUCACUUAUAGAUGGAUCCGCGCUGCAUUAGCUAGUUGGUAAGGUAACGGCUUACCAAGGCAACGAUGCAUAGCCGACCUGAGAGGGUGAUCGGCCACACUGGAACUGAGACACGGUCCAGACUCCUACGGGAGGCAGCAGUAGGGAAUCUUCCGCAAUGGGCGAAAGCCUGACGGAGCAACGCCGCGUGACUGAUGAAGGUCUUCGGAUCGUAAAACUCUGUUAUUAGGGAAGAACAUAUGUGUAAGUAACUGUGCACAUCUUGACGGUACCUAAUCAGAAAGCCACGGCUAACUACGUG
Molecule: ribosomal RNA, 497 nt
Filed under: uncultured bacterium
Lineage: Bacteria
Description: partial 16S ribosomal RNA
Rfam family: Bacterial small subunit ribosomal RNA
Source: RNAcentral